This 433-nucleotide ribosomal RNA is filed under the name uncultured bacterium. RNAcentral's name for it is "partial 16S ribosomal RNA". It matches the Rfam family "Bacterial small subunit ribosomal RNA", at positions 29 to 507 of the family's 1533-position model. The record is from RNAcentral.
AACGAACGCUGGCGGCAUGCCUAACACAUGCAAGUCGAACGAGACCUUCGGGUCUAGUGGCGCACGGGUGCGUAACGCGUGGGAACCUGCCCUUAGGUUCGGAAUAACUCCCCGAAAGGGGUGCUAAUACCGGAUAAUGUCUCCGGACCAAAGAUUUAUCGCCUUUGGAUGGGCCCGCGUUGGAUUAGCUAGUUGGUAGGGUAAAAGCCUACCAAGGCGACGAUCCAUAGCUGGUCUGAGAGGAUGAUCAGCCACACUGGGACUGAGACACGGCCCAGACUCCUACGGGAGGCAGCAGUGGGGAAUAUUGGACAAUGGGCGAAAGCCUGAUCCAGCAAUGCCGCGUGAGUGAUGAAGGCCUUAGGGUUGUAAAGCUCUUUUACCCGGGAUGAUAAUGACAGUACCAGGAGAAUAAGCUCCGGCUAACUCCGUG